This 253-nucleotide ribosomal RNA is filed under the name uncultured bacterium. Its description in RNAcentral is "partial 16S ribosomal RNA". It matches the Rfam family "Bacterial small subunit ribosomal RNA", at positions 524 to 776 of the family's 1533-position model. The record is from RNAcentral.
UACGUAGGGUGCAAGCGUUGUCCGGAAUCACUGGGCGUAAAGGGCGCGUAGGCGGCUCAUGAAGGCUGUGGUGAAAGUCCGGGGCUCAACCUCGGAUCGGCCGUGGCGACUCGUGGGCUGGAGCACUGUAGAGGCGGGUGGAAUUCCGGGUGUAGCGGUGGAAUGCGUAGAGAUCCGGAAGAACACCAGUGGCGAAGGCGGCCCGCUGGGCAGUGGCUGACGCUGAAGCGCGACAGCGUGGGGAGCAAACAGG